CCUACGGGUGGCAGCAGUGGGGAAUAUUGCACAAUGGGGGAAACCCUGAUGCAGCAACGCCGCGUGAAGGAAGACGGUUUUCGGAUUGUAAACUUCUGUUCUUAGUGAAGAAUAAUGACGGUAGCUAAGGAGCAAGCCACGGCUAACUACGUGCCAGCAGCCGCGGUAAUACGUAGGUGGCAAGCGUUGUCCGGAAUUACUGGGUGUAAAGGGAGCGCAGGCGGGAAGCCAAGUCAGCUGUGAAAACUACGGGCUUAACUUGUAGACUGCAGUUGAAACUGGGUUUCUUGAGUGAAGUAGAGGUUGGCGGAAUUCCGAGUGUAGCGGUGAAAUGCGUAGAUAUUAGGAGGAACACCAGUGGCGAAGGCGACUUUCUGGACAGUAACUGACGUUGAGGCACGAAAGUGUGGGGAGCAAACAGGAUUAGAUACCCCGGUAGUC
Molecule: ribosomal RNA, 441 nt
Filed under: uncultured bacterium
Lineage: Bacteria
Description: partial 16S ribosomal RNA
Rfam family: Bacterial small subunit ribosomal RNA
Source: RNAcentral